UUGGAUGCUAUUCCCCUAGUAUUUGGUUUUAAUGAGUAAGAUUAAUGCAGAUCUAGGGAGUACGAGGUCAAGGAAAAGCUACUAGGGAUUGGUGUUCAAGGUAAGGUUAAGGUGAGGUUUCGAUUUUUGGGUAAAAUAUGUAUUAAGCAUACGAUUAAUUGAAGGGUGAUCUCAUUUGUAGGUUGGUGACUAAGGGAAUCGCAGCACGCUUACUUAGCAGGUGUGUACAUACACUGCACA
Molecule: long non-coding RNA, 240 nt
Filed under: Gossypium barbadense (sea-island cotton)
Lineage: Eukaryota; Viridiplantae; Streptophyta; Magnoliopsida; Malvales; Malvaceae
Description: long non-coding RNA (GBAR_LNC004570)
Source: RNAcentral